RNAcentral lists this long non-coding RNA (557 nucleotides) under Capsicum annuum. RNAcentral describes it as "long non-coding RNA (CANN_LNC001379)". The record is from RNAcentral. Lineage: Eukaryota; Viridiplantae; Streptophyta; Magnoliopsida; Solanales; Solanaceae.
ACAAUCACAUAAGAAUUAAAAGAGAGGAAAGAAUUGUACCUCGAUGCCGCUUUCAAGUAUUAUUCAAUCAAACGAGAUGAAGUCCGCACCGGAACCUCAAAUCGAACCUCAACACGAAUUCCAAAUCAAGCUUCGGUUUUACGAAAAAAAAUAUCCGAGCAUCCCGAAACCAGUAAAUUACUAGAUAGUUCAACAAGAGAAGAAUCCCGAAGAAACUUUCAUGCGAUAAUUUCGACGAGAAUUUGCCGGAGACGUCGAAAACAGCCGAUUAAGCACCGAAUUUUAGCGUUUUCAGCAAGGCUUAAGAUUUUUCCAGUGGAAAUCGCUUUAAAAUUGAACAAAAAUGGAUCUCUCGCCGAUUUUGUGUCCCUUUCCCUCAUCUCACUGUUUCUUCUCUCUCUCCCUUCAAUUCUCUCUCUCUCGUCUCUCUGUCUGUUUGGUUCCCUCUCUAUCCCCAAUUGUGUGUUAUGGAGAAAUAAAGGUUGUGGGUGUGUUCGUUAGCCGUGGAAAAGAGAAGAAAGAAAAAAAAAUCCCGUCUCUCGAGGUUUGUGCUCCUC